This 852-nucleotide long non-coding RNA is filed under the name Marmota monax (woodchuck). The record is from RNAcentral. Lineage: Eukaryota; Metazoa; Chordata; Mammalia; Rodentia; Sciuridae.
GCCCGCCGCGCGCCUCCCGCACCGCCGCCUGCGGGCCCUGCCUCGGGGCCCCGCGCAGCUUUGUUCCUCGCGGCGGUCGUCGCCUCCUCGCCCCUCCGGUGCCCCGGGCCCUGGGCGCUUUGUCUUUCCGCGCUGUCCCCCCGCGACUCUCUACCCCCGGCCCUUUGUUUCGCUGCCUUGGGCGCUUUGUCCGCCCCGCCGCGCCCCGCAUCCCUUCUCCAUCUCUUUCCCUCCGCUGUCCUUCCUCCCGUGCCCCUUUGUUGUGUUCCUCUCUUCUUGGUGGCCCAGUGACCUGCCACAGCCCAGGCACCAGAUUCCUGUUUUUAUUUUUCUUUCUUUGUCUUUCUCGUGUGUCUCCCCUCUCACCUUUCUCUUUGGCCCUGGAUCACCCCCAGAGGCUUUGUCUCCCUCAUAUAGUGGCUUAUUUUCCCAGUACCCCCCUUACCCUCCCAUCUUCGUGUGAUUUAUCCGCUGCCCACAGUGUUUGUCUGCUGAACUGUCUCAGCCCCGGGGACUCCAUCUGGUGCUUGGAAGUGCGGACAGACUCUAGGGCUUGUUGUUUUGUGAAUCUGAAGGAUGCUUGGGGAUACUUAGUUUCCUCCUCCGCCCCCUCCUCUCCUCUGCACCCCUUUCUCUCGGGAUUAUGUGUACCCCCCUCCGGGGGGGGGUUAAUACUGCUUUUAAGGGGACUCCAGUUUUCAUUGCCAUCUCUUUGGGUUCGUGGUUGUGCUUGGAAACAGUAGCCCUGAAAAAGAUCUAGUCUCUUGAUGGUUAUCCCCCCGCCUCUCUGCCCCUUGGUGUUUCUGGUGGCGUUGGCCAAGGGCAGCUGUCCAAGGGCAGCUGUCGUAGCUU